RNAcentral lists this ribosomal RNA (228 nucleotides) under uncultured bacterium. Its description in RNAcentral is "partial 16S ribosomal RNA". It matches the Rfam family "Bacterial small subunit ribosomal RNA", at positions 568 to 795 of the family's 1533-position model. The record is from RNAcentral.
UCCGUAGGCGGAAGAUUAAGUCAGUGGUGAAAUCCUGCAGCUUAACUGUAGAACUGUCAUUGAUACUGGUUUUCUUGAAUAUAGUUGAGGUAGGCGGAAUGUGUAAUGUAGCGGUGAAAUGCUUAGAUAUUACACAGAACACCGAUUGCGAAGGCAGCUUACUAAGCUAUGAUUGACGCUGAGGUACGAAAGCGUGGGGAGCGAACAGGAUUAGAUACCCUGGUAGUC